Molecule: ribosomal RNA, 268 nt
Filed under: uncultured bacterium
Lineage: Bacteria
Description: partial 16S ribosomal RNA
Rfam family: Bacterial small subunit ribosomal RNA
Source: RNAcentral
UACGAAGGGGGGCUAGCGUUGUUCGGAAUCACUGGGCGUAAAGCGCACGUAGGCGGAUGUGUCAGUCAGGGGUGAAAUCCCGGAGCUCAACUUCGGAACUGCCUCUGAUACAGCACGUCUUGAGUCCGGAAGAGGUGGGUGGAAUUCCUAGUGUAGAGGUGAAAUUCGUAGAUAUUAGGAAGAACACCGGUGGCGAAGGCGGCCCACUGGUCCGGUACUGACGCUGAGGUGCGAAAGCGUGGGGAGCAAACAGGAUUGAGAAACCCUU